AGAGUUUGAUCAUGGCUCAGAACGAACGCUGGCGGCAGGCUUAACACAUGCAAGUCGAACGGGUGUAGCAAUACAUCAGUGGCAGACGGGUGAGUAACACGUGGGAACCUUCCUCGUUGUACGGGACAACUCAGGGAAACUUGUGCUAAUACCGUAUACGUCCGAUAGGAGAAAGAUUUAUCGGAGUUGGAUGAGCCCGCGUUGGAUUAGCUAGUUGGUGGGGUAAUGGCCUACCAAGGCGACGAUCCAUAGCUGGUCUGAGAGGAUGAUCAGCCACACUGGGACUGAGACACGGCCCAGACUCCUACGGGAGGCAGCAGUGGGGAAUAUUGGACAAUGGGCGCAAGCCUGAUCCAGCCAUGCCGCGUGAGUGAUGAAGGCCCUAGGGUUGUAAAGCUCUUUCACCGGUGAAGAUAAUGACGGUAACCGGAGAAGAAGCCCCGGCUAACUUCGUGCCAGCAGCCGCGGUAAUACGAAGGGGGCUAGCGUUGUUCGGAAUU
Molecule: ribosomal RNA, 500 nt
Filed under: uncultured bacterium
Lineage: Bacteria
Description: bacterial SSU rRNA
Rfam family: Bacterial small subunit ribosomal RNA
Source: RNAcentral